This 527-nucleotide ribosomal RNA is filed under the name Fusarium oxysporum. Its description in RNAcentral is "eukaryotic LSU rRNA". The stretch from base 152 to 306 matches the Rfam family "5.8S ribosomal RNA". Lineage: Eukaryota; Fungi; Ascomycota; Sordariomycetes; Hypocreales; Nectriaceae. The record is from RNAcentral.
UUACGAGUUACAACUCCCAACACCCCUGUGAACAUACCAAUUGUUGCCUCGGCGGAUCAGUCACGCUCCCGGUAAAACGGGACGGCCCGCCAGAGGACCCCUAAACUCUGUUUCUAUAUGUAACUUCUGAGUAAAACCAUAAAUAAAUCAAAACUUUCAACAACGGAUCUCUUGGUUCUGGCAUCGAUGAAGAACGCAGCAAAAUGCGAUAAGUAAUGUGAAUUGGCAGAAUUCAGUGAAUCAUCGAAUCUUUGAACGCACAUUGCGCCCGCCAGUAUUCUGGCGGGCAUGCCUGUUCGAGCGUCAUUUCAACCCUCAAGCCCCCGGGUUUAGGUGUUGGGGAUCGGCGAGCCCUUGCGGCAAGCCGGCCCCGAAAUCUAGUGGCGGUCUCGCUGCAGCUUCCAUUGCGUAGUAGUAAAACCCUCGCAACUGGUACGCGGCAGCGGCCAAGCCGUUGAAACCCCCAAAUUCUGAAUGUGACCUCGGAUCAGGUAGGAAUACCCAGAUGAACUUAAGCAUAUCAAUAA